AGUCGCUCCUGGUUGUAGACGAGUCGGCCCGGUCGGGCGGGUACAUAACAGAUGAGGGUAAAAGAUCCAUCUAAAGUUCUACCUGAGAAAGAGAAAAGAAAUAGAAGGCCUUCAACACCUCAUGAUGAAGAUUCUUCAGAUGACAUUGCUGUAGGUUUAGCUUGCCAACAUGUAAGUCAUGCCAUCAGUGUGAAUCAUGUGAAGAAAGCAAUAGCUGAGAAUCUGUGGUCAGUUUGUUCGGAAUGUUUAAAGGAAAGAAGAUUGUAUGAUGGACAACCAGUACUUCCUUCAGACAUUUGGUUGUGCCUUAAGUGUGGUUUUCAGGGUUGUGGUAAGAACUCAGAAAACCAGCAUUCAUUGAAGCAUUUCAAGAGUUCCAGAACCGAAUCUCAUUGUAUUGUAAUUAAUCUGAGCACAUGGAUUAUUUGGUGUUAUGAGUGUGAUGAAAAAUUAUCAACACAUUGUAAUAAGAAGGUUUUGGCCCAAAUAGUUGACUUUCUUCAGAAACAUGUUUCUAAAACACAAACAAGUACAUUUUCUAGAAUCAUAAAACUUUGUGAAGAAAAACAUGAGACAAGUGAAAUAAAGAAAGGAAGAAAAAGUAGCAAUGUGUCAUCUGUAAAAGGAAUUACCAAUUUAGGAAAUACUUGCUUCUUUAAUGCAGUCAUUCAGAACUUGGCACAGACUUACAUUCUUCUUGAUCUAAUGAAUGAGAUAAAAGAAGAUGGUACAAAAUUAAAGAUCUCUCCUUCCACAGAAUCUCAGCUGGACCCAUUAGCGGUAGAACUCUCAAGUCCUGGACCGCUGACCUCAGCCCUGUUCCUGUUUCUUCACAGCAUGGUGGAGACUGAACGAGGACCCCUUUCUCCUAAGGUUCUUUUUAACCAGCUUUGUCAGAAAGAAUACAAGCUGGCAUUCUAAAAGCUUUUAACAACCCCACUACUAAAACUGCUGAUGAUGAAACUAGAAAAAAAGUCAAAGCAUAUGGAAAAGAAGGUGUGAAAAUGAACUUCAUAGACCGGAUCUUUAUUGGUGAAUUAACUAGCACAGUUAUGUGUGAAGAAUGUGC
Octodon degus (degu) is the source of this 1069-nucleotide RNA transcript. It is a transcript of the gene named ubiquitin carboxyl-terminal hydrolase 45, with no coding region annotated. The transcript is spliced from 10 exons. The record is from RefSeq and is a predicted model, not a curated record. Lineage: Eukaryota; Metazoa; Chordata; Mammalia; Rodentia; Octodontidae.